This 476-nucleotide ribosomal RNA is filed under the name uncultured bacterium. RNAcentral describes it as "bacterial SSU rRNA". It matches the Rfam family "Bacterial small subunit ribosomal RNA", at positions 25 to 518 of the family's 1533-position model. The record is from RNAcentral.
CAGGACGAACGCUGGCGGCGUGCUUAACACAUGCAAGUCGAACGGGAGUAUUGAAGAAGCUUGCUCUAGAGAUACUUUAGUGGCGGACGGGUGAGUAACGCGUGAGGAGCUGUCCUAUGCAGGGGGACAACAGCUGGAAACGGCUGCUAAUACCCCCAUAAGCCGAGAGGUAAAAGGAUCAAUCCGGCAGAGGAGGUACUCGCGUCCUAUCAGCUAGUAGGUGAGGUAACGGCUCACCUAGGCGAAGACGGGUAGCCGGCCUGAGAGGGCGAACGGCCACACUGGAACUGAGAUACGGUCCAGACUCCUACGGGAGGCAGCAGUGGGGAAUAUUGGGCAAUGGGGGGAAAAACCCCCUGACCCAGCGACGCCGCGUGGGUGAAGAAAUCCUUCGGGAUGUAAAGCCCUGUUGUAUGGGAAGAGCGGAAGACGGUACCAUACGAGGAAGCCCCGGCAAACUACGUGCCAGCCGCCGC